This 467-nucleotide ribosomal RNA is filed under the name uncultured bacterium. Its description in RNAcentral is "partial 16S ribosomal RNA". It matches the Rfam family "Bacterial small subunit ribosomal RNA", at positions 28 to 507 of the family's 1533-position model. The record is from RNAcentral.
GACGAACGCUGGCGGCGUGCUUAACACAUGCAAGUCGAACGGAAAGGCCCUGCUUUUGUGGGGUGCUCGAGUGGCGAACGGGUGAGUAACACGUGAGUAACCUGCCCUUGACUUUGGGAUAACUUCAGGAAACUGGGGCUAAUACCGGAUAGGAGCUCCUGCUGCAUGGUGGGGGUUGGAAGGUUUCGGCGGUUGGGGAUGGACUCGCGGCUUAUCAGCUUGUUGGUGGGGUAGUGGCUUACCAAGGCUUUGACGGGUAGCCGGCCUGAGAGGGUGACCGGCCACAUUGGGACUGAGAUACGGCCCAGACUCCUACGGGAGGCAGCAGUGGGGAAUAUUGCACAAUGGGCGGAAGCCUGAUGCAGCAACGCCGCGUGCGGAUGACGGCCUUCGGGUUGUAAACCGCUUUCGCCUGUGACGAAGCGUGAGUGACGGUAAUGGGUAAAGAAGCACCGGCUAACUACGUG